Marmota monax (woodchuck) is the source of this 8656-nucleotide long non-coding RNA. RefSeq lists it as uncharacterized. The record is from RefSeq and is a predicted model, not a curated record. NCBI's taxonomy places the organism in Eukaryota, Metazoa, Chordata, Mammalia, Rodentia, Sciuridae. The transcript has 2 exons.
UUUGUGCUCAUCUAUGAGUUUGGAAGAAAAUUACCAUACAUAGUCUUCUGUAGUUUUUUAAGGAAAUGCUAAGACCUUAAAAAACUUAAGUGUAUUAUAUUUUUAAUAAUUUAAGAAACUUAACUUUGUGAGGAAAGAAUUAUUUUAACUUAGACACAAAUGUGUGUAAAAUUCACAUUGUGAGGUAGAGAGUUGGUUUCUGCAGUAACUGUUAGUUAACUUAGAAUUAGAUGUUGAGAUCUCAAAAUAUAUUUAGAAGUUGGUAGAAAUGAAAAUAUGGCGAAGGGAGAAAAUAUGUAUAUAAUUGCUAUAAGUUAGAGAAUGCAUUUGCCAAUUUUUAUAAAAAAUAAUUAAAAAAUUUAGACACCAUGUUCCCAUUUGCAUAAUGAACUUUGACUAACCCCAGAUCUCUGUCUGCUUUUUAAGGGGAAAGUACUUUGUCAUCUUUAACUAUCUGGACCCUUAACUAUCUGGUUCCUUAAUCUCUAAGACAUUAGGCUAUUUAAGAUCCAUCAGUGUAUUAAAUGUUUAAAUUUUCAGAUUUAUUUUUAGAAUUUGGUCCCUCAAACUAAAUGUAAUUUAAUUUGUAGUGAAAUCCUCACAACCUAUGGGAGGAAGAAUGUUCCCUUUAAUCCCUCAUGUGAAUUACAUGGAUUUGAGUUUAUACAAUAUGUAAUGUUACGUUCUCUUUCAUAACUUAAUUAUUUUAUCAAAACCUAAGGUGAAAUUGGCAGGUGUCCUUAGUUUAGCAUCCAGCCAAAGAUGAAUCCAAGAGCAAUUUGCUGAAAAGAAAUAGAGAAACUUUCUCUUCUGCCAAACUUUCUCAUUCCUGCUGCUCUUGAAAACUGUCUGUACAGGGGAAAAAAUCUAUAAACACAGAUAUAAAAAGCAACAGUUGCCUCUGUUCAACUUCCCAUCACAUGUGACCUGAUUUUCUAGUUCUCUGUGAUGCCCAGACCCUUGCUUCCCAGCAAGAGCCAAAGCAAACUGCUUUCAAGAGUCUCCAUCUCUGUUUGCAAACCAUACCCAGUUUACCUAUUAGACAGGCAUCUGGCAUGGGGACCACAGCACAGCUUCCUCCUGUACCCAAAGUCUGAGACAGGGGCUGAGCUGUAUUCUGUCUGGACUCAUCUGUAGAUGCAGAGGUCAGUGUUUGAUGAGAUAAAUUGACUUGUUUUUGAUCCUAGGACAAAACAAAACAUUUUGGGGACCAUAAAUGGCCUGAGGCUGAUUUGUUUUCUGGAGAAGGGCAAAGAGUAUAAUAUACUAUAGACUGCCCUUGGAAAAAAUGUUGCAAGGGGAAAGAGUAACUCUGAAGAAGGGCUAGAGACCAGGGAGAGACUGACUACGUAAUUAAUAACCCAAAGCUACAGUCUGUUGCCAAAUUUUUCUAGUGAUUUCCCCUAAUCCUUCAAAUUCUUCCUAAAGUCUUUUGAAAGAUAUUUUUGCAAGAUACAACAUUAACUUCCAUUCUAUUUUGCUAUCAUUUGUAUUUUUUUCUUUGCUAUGUUCAUGAACUAGAGCUAUUUCCUGACCUUUUGGACAAGGCCAUUAUUUUCAGAGUCAAAUUAAAAAUUUUGGUUAAGGAUGCUUAUGUAUUCUGGAAAAGAAAAUUCUGAAGAUAUCAUUUGUGUUCUUAGGCAAAUUAUGACACCUAGGAUUGUUUAACCUUAAAAAAUUCUUUUAUAAUUAAAGCAUUAAUAGAAAUAUUACUUAUAUCAGUUUAUUGUUGCAUAACCAAUGAUUCCAAAACUUAAAAUGGAUAUUAAAACAAUAUUCAUUAACUUAGUUUAUAUUUCUGUGGGAUGGAAAUUUAGGGUGUUUUCAUCUUACAGUUCUGGGUCUUGGCUGGGCCCUCUGUGCUGUCACGUGCAUGUCAGUUCAGCAUGUCUGCUUCUAGGAGCUCUCUGAUUGUCAGAAUGACUGUGAGACUAGGCUGCAUUUCUCCCACCUUCUAGUUGGUUUGUCCAGAUAUGUUUAUAUGUGGUCACAAGAGUGGCUUGACUUAGAACUGGUAGACUAUUAGCCUAUAACAAGUAACAAAAUUGGCUCAAUUUAUCAGGUAGGGAAUUAGACUCCAUGAUUUCAUGGAGGAGCUUGUACUGACCUUGCAAAGGUGCAAAGAGGGGCUGUAUUUGCAAUUGACCUCACUAAUCAAUGGCACUACAUGCUAGGCAAUUUAUAUACAUUUUCACCAAUUUUUACAAUAACACAAUAUGUUAAUGAUCACUUCCUCACUUAAGAGUUGAAGGCACUGAAGUUUAGAGAGACUAAUUGCCUUGCCCAAGAUUGUAAAUAAUAAUCAGACAAGCUCUAUCUUGGACAAUAAUUUGUGUGAAACAAAAUCUUUAGGUUAAUUUUUUUCUUGUUCAAUUUCAUAUUUUUUUUUCUUUUAUUGAUCUUAUUUUUUAAUAAAUACAGGACAACAGUGGAAUGCAUUACAAUUCUUAUUACACAUAUAGAGCACAAAUUUUGGUAUCUCUGUAUAUAAAGUAUAUUCACACCAAUUUAUGUCUUUAUACACGUACUUUUUUGCAUUACAAUUCUUAAUACACAUAUAUACCACAAUUUUUCAUUUUUUAUCUUCAUAGUUUCACCUUCUGUUAAGUUCUGGAAUCAAAUUCUACCAUCUUUCUUCCUCUGUUAAAAAUCUUAUUAUACUUUAACACUAUAUUAUUUUUUUCCAGUAAUAAUUUCUUUUUCUGUAAUAAAAAACCAAAAAAUAAAAUAUUUUUUUCUUUAAAAAAAAUUUGAGAAUUUCUUGAUUUUUUAAAAAUCUAAACCUCAUUAUCUUAAUUUUAAAUAGUAAAAUCUGGAUAGUAGUCUGUAGUAUGGAUUUAUUCUGUAUUAAAAAAUUUGGGGGGGGCUGGGGUUGUAGCUCAGUGGUAAAGUGCAUACUUAGCUUGUAUGAAGCCCUGGGUUUAAUCCCCAGCACCACCACCAAAAAAAAAAAAAAAAAAAAAAUACUAUUUUCCAGUCCUCAUGAGUAUAAUAAAAAUUGGGGUAAGGGAGGAGAGGAAGAUGUAUGUCCAAAAGACAGGCAGGUGUUAUUAGGACAAAGAAAACAAAGAAAUAAUAAAUGUUCUAGAAGAGAUGUGUAAUUCUAUAUACAUAUCUAUAUGUACCUUGACUAACCUUCCAGGGCAGUAGUAGAAUGCAAAGAGCCAUGUUCUCAAGUAUUUGCAUCUAAAGGUUUCUUGCACAACUGACUACUUGUUUGUAGUUGGUGCAUCACCUCACUGUUCUAGCCCUCAUAUUCUGCACUAGAAAACUAAGGGUAUUAGAUUUAUGAACAACUCUGAAUUAAAAUAAUCCAACCUUCUGACUCUCUACACAGGACAUCUGGAGGAAUGUACUUACGGCUGAAAUUUGACCAGCCUACUGUGUAACAAAGUAGUACCUCGUGUAAUUUUCAAUCUGUGUAUGGGGUGAAGGUGGGAGUUCAUAACCCACUUGAAUCAAAGUGUGGAAUAUGAUAUGUCAAGAAAUUUGUAAUGUUUUGAACAACCCACAAUAAAAAAUUAAAAAAAAAAAUGAAUGUUCCUACCAAAAAAAAUUCCUUCCAAAGGCAAUGCCAUUCAAAAUUCUCUUAAAUUGAUAUGAGGCUAACCUUAUUAUUGUCCUUAGUGGUCUCUAUUCAUUGUCUUUAGUAAAAUGGAAGUGAUACCUACACAGUGUUCUUCUCUUAAACUGUGGAUUAACAUAAUUAUCAUUUCCUUCUAAUUGAAUGCAAGCAAUUGGUGACAGCAGUAAUGCCUAAUCCUUAUAUAAAACAUCACCUAAUAUUCACUAAUUGUUUUGACAGUGUCUCCCCUUAUGUCUGCUGUCCAAGAUUAACUUGCUCUUGGAAGGAAAAAAAUCAAGGGAAGGCCUGGGAACAAAUGUUUAGAAAAACAUCAGUCAGAUAAGCUCUAAGCUUCAGAAAAAAACACUUUUUAUCUUUUUUUUUUUUUUUUUUUCUUGCUGCUUCUCAUCAAAAUUGAGACCUUAGGAUUUCAGAUAAGGGUAUGAGCUAGAAGUAAGAGCUCGAAGAGGUCUGUGUUUGGUGGGGUGCUAUUGAAGAGCAUGGCACAAAGAAUCCUCUUGCUAGCCAGGCACCUCAUGAUUGAAGUUCUGCAUGAUACUUGGAAUCAGAAAAUCAACUUCUAAUAAGAAUAUUCAUUUGCUGUCUUUGUGCCUGAUAUAGAUCUCAUUUAGGAAUCUGUAACUUGAGCAGACACCUAGAAAGUUCACAGUGUCAGAAGGUGGGGAAGUUGGAACCUAAGUAAUAUAAUAAGUAAUCAAGAGCAUUAUCCAUGCAAAUUCUGUUUGAGUACAUUCUUACCAUUUCUUAUUUCUAUGAACACUGAACUUUGCCAUAUCCAUGGGCUGAGCAUUGUUGUUUUUCAAUUUGCUUUUACUAUCUCAAAUUACUCUUUUUCUAACAGGGCUUUAGGCUUUUAGAAUACCAAUAAAGAUUUGGUAUAUUUGCUCCGAGUUUUCUGAUAAUGUUUUUCAAAAUCAAACAGUUCCUUUAUAAUAAUGAUAAUAAUAAUAGCCACUACUAUAAUAGUUUGUUAGAGUUGCCAUGAGAAAAUAUAGAUUGGGUAGCUUAAACCAAAUAAUUUUUCUCACAGUUUUGGAAGCUAGAAUUUCAAGAUCAUGGUGUUGACAGGUUUGGUUUCUUUUGAGGUUUGUCUUUUGGCUUCUAGGUGACUAGCUUUUAGCUAUAUUCUCACAUAGUCUUUCCUUUAUACUCAAGUGCCAAAGUGCCUUUGUCUAGGCUCUUCUUAGGAAUCCAAUCAUAUAAAGGUCUCAUUUUAACUUAGUCAAUUCUUAUCUCCUAAUACAGUUAUAUUUUGAGGGACUAGGGACAUAAUAGAUGAAUUUGGGGAUUACAGUGACCUUUCUUUAUUUCUGCCAUGCAUUAUUCUAGUCACUUUGAAUGAAUUAAAUUCAGGGUUCUUCAAUCUCAGCACUAAGGACAUUUUAUACCUGACAAUUCUUUCUUGGGGUAGGGUUAGGAGACUGUUCUAUGCAUUGUACCAUUACUAAAUCCAUUUUAGUAUCAUCCUUGGCUUCUGCCAGUAACUCCGUCUCCCCAGGUAGUGAUAUAAUUAUUUGCAGACAUUGUCAGAUUUCCCCUGGGGGACAAAAUUGCUCUAAUUGAGAACCACUGAUUAAGUCUAAUCUUCUCCACACUGUUUCAAGGUAGCUUUAAUAUCCCCACUUUAUAAAGGAAGGUACUGAGAUUAAGAAAGGUUGAAUGACUGGCCAAGUUCACAUAGAAACAAAGGGGCAGAGCCAGGAUUUGAACUUUAGUUGUUUUUUUCCAUGACAUUAAGCUGCUGCUUAGUGGUUAUCCUGCACCUUUUCAGCUUUCACCACUGUCUCUAAAUCUGCUACACCAAAUGCUGAAUGAUGGCCUUAAAAUAAUCAGUAAUCAUGUGAUGAUCCUUUCUUUGUAAUCUUUGUGAAAUAUUCUAAACCAUAAACCUAUUAUGCUUUCUGAAACAGUGACCUAGGGGUAUUACAAAUUGUCCGCAGAGCCAGGCACCAAUGCCACCCUCUUUAUGGUCAUUAAUUAAACUGAGAACAGGCUGAAAGAUACACAUCAGCUGGAUGUGAUGUUACACAACUGUAAUCCUAGUGGCUUGGGAGGCUGAGACAGGAGAAUCACAAGUUCAAAGCCAGGCUCAGCAAAAGCAAGGCACUAAGCAACUCAGUAAGACCCUGUCUCUAAAUAAAAUACAAAAUAGGGCUGGGGAUGUGGCUUAGUGAUUGAGUUCCCCUGAGUUCAAUCCCCAGUACCCUCCCACAAAAAAGACUGAAAUACACAUUAAUAAUAAUAAAUUACAAAUCUUAGCUAAAACAAUUCAUCUUUUCACCCCAAAAUUAUGUGAUAACCCAAUUUUAAAUAUGAAAAUGAAGUCUGGGGAAAUAAGUUGGGAAAUUGCCCUGAUUAGUCAGAGUUAGGUAAAGAAUGAAAAUUAUACUUCUGCUGUGUGGGAAAUUGUUUAAAAACAAAAAAAAUGCUUGCCUAGUGCAUCCCCCAAAAUGUGACAGCUUCAGAAUGGUGUUCAGGUUUUCCUAAGAACCCAGAUGUUCAAUGACUAGUACUUGAACUUUCAAUAAACUCCAGAAAUGUAAAGAAAACUAAAUGAUUGUGCAUAUGUGUGUGCUACAGUGUUCUGAGAAGAAUCCUUCUCUAAUUCUCAAGAAGUAAUAUUUGCUUCCCCACCAUGAAGCCCAAGACUUGAUUAACUUUAUCUUAACAUACCAAUAAAUGUUGUAUUGGCCAUAAAAACAGUCAGCUCUAGUAUAAAUCCAACUCCAGUAUUUAAUUCCUUGACCUUCUAUGUCAGGGAUUUCCAGAAGCAAGCCUAAAAAUCAUCUAAAAUCUAUUUUUCAAGUUAUAAAUUGAACUUUAUUGAAAUAAAAGCUUCUGUUUUGUAUAACAUACUAUUAAUAGUAUCAAAAACAAAUCUUAAAAUUGGGGGAAAGUAUUUGCAAAUCACAGGUCUUCCAAAAGACUUAUCAAUGAUCAUAAACAAGGGAAUUCACAGUAAAAAGAAAACUGAUAUAAAAUCUCAAGACAGUUUACCAAAUAAGUUAUACAGAAACCCACACCUGACAAUGUCUUCAACAUCAUUAGACAUAAAACCACAAUCAGAUAUUCUAAUACUUAAUAGAAUGGCAGAAAUUUUCAAAUGAAACUAAUAAUUUAUGACAUAGAUUCAGAACAGCAUGUUACAUGUUUCAUGCAAUAAGCUUCAAUUUCAUGCUUCUCUGUCUACUUUGAGAAAACUAAGUCUAUGUUCACACAAAAUCCUGCCAAUGGAAAUUGAUAUAAGCUAUGUUUUUAAGUUCAAAAAGUGGAAACUACUCCCAAAUAUAUUUUAAAUUGAGAAUACAUGAACCAUCUGUAUUAUACUAUACAAUGGAAUAUUAAUCAGCAAUAGAGAAAGACAAAGCAAUAUGUGUAACACUAAGUGUGAAAUGUGUGAAAGAAAGCAAACACAAAAGGCUGAAUUUUAAUUAUGAUUCCAAUUUAUAUGACUUUUAUGCAAAUACAAAAUCAUAGGUUCAGAAAUCAAAUCUAUCAUUGCCAGGGACUAGAGGUGGAGGAUGAUUAGACCAGAUAGAAGCAGAGAGGAAUUUGGGAGGGUUGUUCUUCAUCUUUUUUUGCAGUGUUGCAUAUUAUUACAAUCUUUUUCAGAACUCACAGAGCUCUAAAGAAAUAAAUGUUACUUACAUACAUUAAUUAUUAAAAAGUGGAGGCAGUUAGUUCUGAUUGUUUCUAAAGAGAUGGACAAAUGAUCAUGUAGCACAAUCCUCUUUCUUUGUUCAUGAACUUUUAGUGCAGACAGAUGUAUCAUUCACUCAUGUAGUCCAUUAUUUGGAAUGAAUAUAGGAAGGGGGAUUUGUGAUGGUAUCAGGAUAGAAGAUGCAAGAAUGCCUAAAUACUGCUAUAUUUUUAGAUAACUAUGACAAUGCCUUAAGACUAAGACUGUUUCACCCUUUUCAGUCAUAAGAGUCAAAUCUUGGAAAUUCCUAUACAAACAAGGAAUGGAUAUUAUUACAAAUAAAAAGAACACACAAAGGAAACAGGAGCACAGUGUGCCUCAGCCAUAACUCCUCUUGACAGAACAGUUGAUUCCCCAAUACAGCUAGGAGACAGUGGAGAUGAAUCCACCUAGUAAUCGCCACCUAGUCUUUUCUUGGUAAGCAUUAUGCUGAGUGGUGAAUGAACUCAUCAGAUUCCUUCCUGACAGCAGGGCUGUUUAAUUUUGUUUUGAGAAGGAGAAGGAAAGAAAGGAGAUACUAAUAAGAUACCUGAUAAGUAACAAAGGACAGUCUUUCCAGGGGCAAAAGUAUCCAGAGUCACCUUUUCUGGUACUCUUGAUGCUUUCAGACUUUGGAAUAGGCAGGAAAAAGGUUCCCACCAUUUGAUACCCCCAAAUAAGCAUUUAAGUGAAACAGGAGCAGAAGUACCCCCAGACAUGGAUGGAUUUAGUGAAAACCUUUGUGGUUUAAUUGGAGGAAAGCAAAAAGCCCACCAAUUCCUGAAAGUGUGUCCUUUGAUGACAUCAAAACAGUGUAUAAUGCUUCAUUUAACACAUAUCACACAUGGGAGUUUGGCUCCAUGAGUCUCUUAUUGAAAUGUAUUAGUUAUUUUUAGAAGUAAGCUAUUCUCAGACUAUUAAAGCUGAAUGAUUUUAUUUUCUUUUUGUGGUACUCAAGUUGAACUAAUGCCCUCAAAAAUGCCAAGAAAGUGUUCUGCCACUGAGCUGAAUCCCAAGCCCUUUAUUUUUUGAAUAUUGAUACAGGAUCUCAUGAAAUUGUUCAGAUUGGCCUCUAACUUGCAAUUUUCCUGCCUCAGCAUCUUGAGUUGCUAGGAUUCCAGGUAUGUACCAUCAUAUCUGGCCUGAAGAACCUUAGAAGUUCUCUAUUUCUAUUUCUAUUAAUUAGUUUAUUUAUUUUAAUUAGGUAUACAUGACAGCAGAGUGCAUUUUGAUUUAUUGUACAUAAUUGCAGCACAACUUUUCAUUUCUCUGGUCGUACAUGAUAUAGCAUCUCACCAUAUUUGCAAUCAUACAUGUACCUAGGGUAAUGAUGUCCAUCUCAUUCCACCAUCUUUUUUGCCCACAUGCAGCCUCCCUCCCCCUCCCUCCCC